AACGAACGCUGGCGGCAUGCCUAACACAUGCAAGUCGAACGAGACCUUCGGGUCUAGUGGCGCACGGGUGCGUAACGCGUGGGAACCUGCCCUUGGGUCGGGAAAAACCCCCCGAAGGGGGUGCAAUACCCGGUAAUGUUUUCGGGCCAAAGAUUUAUCGCCUUUGGAUGGGCCCGCGUUGGAUUAGCUAGUUGGUAGGGUAAAAGCCUACCAAGGCGACGAUCCAUAGCUGGUCUGAGAGGAUGAUCAGCCACACUGGGACUGAGACACGGCCCAGACUCCUACGGGAGGCAGCAGUGGGGAAUAUUGGACAAUGGGCGAAAGCCUGAUCCAGCAAUGCCGCGUGAGUGAUGAAGGCCUUAGGGUUGUAAAGCUCUUUUACCCGGGAUGAUAAUGACAGUACCGGGAGAAUAAGCUCCGGCUAACUCCGUG
RNAcentral lists this ribosomal RNA (432 nucleotides) under uncultured bacterium. Its description in RNAcentral is "partial 16S ribosomal RNA". It matches the Rfam family "Bacterial small subunit ribosomal RNA", at positions 29 to 507 of the family's 1533-position model. The record is from RNAcentral.